This is a non-coding RNA of Paramuricea clavata, 267 nucleotides long. The record is from the annotation of a GenBank genome assembly. Lineage: Eukaryota; Metazoa; Cnidaria; Anthozoa; Malacalcyonacea; Plexauridae.
CAUUCUGGUUAAAAGUUUCAAUAGAAUAUUCACAAAAUAAUAUAAAAUAACCAUUGAUACUUAAAUGCUGAUUUUCUUUCAGUACUUCGGCUAAUGGGAAUUGUCUCUUUAAUGCAUGUUCUAUUGCGUUAAUUGGGAAUGAGAGUUUGUCUGGCAAGUUGCUCACUUGAGAUGCCUCACCAGUGUUGAACUGUUUGAGAAUGCCAAAUACUAUGCUAUAACCAUCCCCUCAUUGAGUCCCAGCAUAAAAACGUAGCAUUCACUUCA